AGUGAACGCUGGCGGUAGGCCUAACACAUGCAAGUCGAGCGGCAGCACAGUAAGAGCUUGCUCUUACGGGUGGCGAGUGGCGGACGGGUGAGGAAUACAUCGGAAUCUACUUUUUCGUGGGGGAUAACGUAGGGAAACUUACGCUAAUACCGCAUACGACCUACGGGUGAAAGCAGGGGAUCUUCGGACCUUUCGCGAUUGAAUGAGCCGAUGUCGGAUUAGCUAGUUGGCGGGGUAAAGGCCCACCAAGGCGACGAUCCGUAGCUGGUCUGAGAGGAUGAUCAGCCACACUGGAACUGAGACACGGUCCAGACUCCUACGGGAGGCAGCAGUGGGGAAUAUUGGACAAUGGGCGCAAGCCUGAUCCAGCCAUACCGCGUGGGUGAAGAAGGCCUUCGGGUUGUAAAGCCCUUUUGUUGGGAAAGAAAAGCAGCAGGUUAAUACCCCGCUGUUCUGACGGUACCCAAAGAAUAAGCACCGGCUAACUUCGUG
Molecule: ribosomal RNA, 492 nt
Filed under: uncultured bacterium
Lineage: Bacteria
Description: partial 16S ribosomal RNA
Rfam family: Bacterial small subunit ribosomal RNA
Source: RNAcentral